ACUUUCAGCAACGGAUCUCUUGGCUCUCGCAUCGAUGAAGAACGCAGCGAANUGCGAUAAGUAAUGUGAAUUGCAGAUUUUCCGUGAAUCAUNGAAUCUUUGAACGCACCUUGCGCUCCUUGGUAUUCCGAGGAGCAUGCCUGUUUGAGUGUCAUUA
Molecule: ribosomal RNA, 157 nt
Filed under: Chalciporus piperatus
Lineage: Eukaryota; Fungi; Basidiomycota; Agaricomycetes; Boletales; Boletaceae
Description: 5.8S ribosomal RNA
Rfam family: 5.8S ribosomal RNA
About the family: 5.8S ribosomal RNA (5.8S rRNA) is a component of the large subunit of the eukaryotic ribosome. It is transcribed by RNA polymerase I as part of the 45S precursor that also contains 18S and 28S rRNA. Functionally, it is thought that 5.8S rRNA may be involved in ribosome translocation.
Source: RNAcentral